Non-coding RNA from Xylaria acuta, 146 nucleotides. NCBI's taxonomy places the organism in Eukaryota, Fungi, Ascomycota, Sordariomycetes, Xylariales, Xylariaceae. The record is from the annotation of a GenBank genome assembly.
GGUCGGUUAGCUCAGCUGGUUAGAGCGUCGUAAGUUGAGAAAAUUCAGGCCCAAUUCGAACUCAAAACUGACUCCCCCAGGUACUAAUACAACACCAAUUGUAUCAAGUAAUGCGAAGGUCAUGAGUUCGAUCCUCAUACUGACCA